RNAcentral lists this long non-coding RNA (462 nucleotides) under Gossypium barbadense (sea-island cotton). RNAcentral's name for it is "long non-coding RNA (GBAR_LNC000200)". The record is from RNAcentral. Lineage: Eukaryota; Viridiplantae; Streptophyta; Magnoliopsida; Malvales; Malvaceae.
CGAAAUUUAAAAAAAAAUUGGAAUACUCGAACAAGUCCCGUUCUAUUUUUAAUACGUGUUUGAACUUCGAGAGUUCAAGAUAGGGACUUAAUUAUUAUAUUAUACUAUGAAAGUUAUAUUAAUUAUAAAUUAUUCGUAAGUUGUCUGAUAUGUCCGGUAAUGCCUCAUAACCUCGUUUCGGUAACGGUUUGGGGUUAGGGGGUGUUACAAAAAUGAUGAAAUGGAGAUUAUACUUAAGUAAAAUCAUAGAUAUGUGAUGAUUGAUUGGUGAUAUACAUGUUUAAAUAACAUGCAUGCAAGGUAUGUGUGAAAGAGUGAUUUGGUAAUAAAUCUGCUUGGGACAGCAGCAGUAAUGUUUGAAAAUGCUAUAGGCUAAAUUGAAGUGGCCAAAUAAAUAGGAGUGCAAAAUAGGAGGAUUUGCAUGACAAACCUCUCAUUUUACAUGAAGUGGCCAGCCAUCAU